Molecule: ribosomal RNA, 653 nt
Filed under: uncultured bacterium
Lineage: Bacteria
Description: bacterial SSU rRNA
Rfam family: Bacterial small subunit ribosomal RNA
Source: RNAcentral
AAAAGGUGGCUAUGCUACCGCUUUUGGAUGGGCCCGCGGCGCAUUAGCUAGUUGGUGGGGUAAAGGCUUACCAAGGCAAUGAUGCGUAGCCGAACUGAGAGGUUGAUCGGCCACAUUGGGACUGAGACACGGCCCAAACUCCUACGGGAGGCAGCAGUAGGGAAUCUUCCACAAUGGGCGAAAGCCUGAUGGAGCAACGCCGCGUGGGUGAAGAAGGUCUUCGGAUCGUAAAACCCUGUUGUUAGAGAAGAAAGUGCGUGAGAGUAACUGUUCACGUUUCGACGGUAUCUAACCAGAAAGCCACGGCUAACUACGUGCCAGCAGCCGCGGUAAUACGUAGGUGGCAAGCGUUAUCCGGAUUUAUUGGGCGUAAAGGGAACGCAGGCGGUCUUUUAAGUCUGAUGUGAAAGCCUUCGGCUUAACCGGAGUAGUGCAUUGGAAACUGGGAGACUUGAGUGCAGAAGAGGAGAGUGGAGCUCCAUGUGUAGCGGUGAAAUGCGUAGAUAUAUGGAAGAACACCAGUGGCGAAAGCGGCUCUCUGGUCUGUAACUGACGCUGAGGUUCGAAAGCGUGGGUAGCAAACAGGAUUAGAUACCCUGGUAGUCCACGCCGUAAACGAUGAAUGCUAAGUGUUGGAGGGUUUCCGCCCUUCA